Pezoporus occidentalis (night parrot) is the source of this 2001-nucleotide long non-coding RNA. RefSeq lists it as uncharacterized. The record is from RefSeq and is a predicted model, not a curated record. Lineage: Eukaryota; Metazoa; Chordata; Aves; Psittaciformes; Psittacidae. The transcript is spliced from 2 exons.
AGUGAGCUGUAAAAUAAUUUAGAGUGGAAAGGACUUUUGGAGGUCAUCCAGUCCAAACCACUGCUAGAAGUAGGGUUUACUUCUAAGAAAUUAAAUCAGGUUGCUCUGGGGCUUGCUUUAUACACCAGAUUUUAAAUCCAGCUUACAAAGAAACCUUUUCAUGAAAACUGGAAUGCAGUUAUCAGUCUGGAAAUGUUAUGCACUCCCACUGUAAGGAGUCCAUUAGUAUAAAAACUUUCCAGAACUGUGCUGUGUUAACCUUUAAAUGAAACACUUCCUCCUUACCACUUUCAGCCAAAUAGUCACCUGGAUUCUGCGCAGUUACUUUGGCCAGGACUCACCUCAUCUAAAUUGAAUCAUGUAGUGUAUCAUCUGAACUGUCAAUGGUUGGCAGACAGAUAUGAGUGUCCCAGGGGAAAAUUUCUUCCUGAGAGCUGUAAGGCUGAAGUAGGUUGUCCUCUCCACUGAAUACAGAGGCCACAGCAACAACCUACUGUGACUUCAGGCCCAAAUUUUAGAUGGCUUAAAGUUAGACAAGUUGAAUCCUACCGUGAGUACUCAGUACUGCAGACUGGCUCUGUUCUUGCAAAUUAGGCUAUAAACUCUUUGAGAGUUGGAAUGAUGCCUUGUCAUUUGAUACAUUCAGCUGUACAUGUAGAAAUAUUAAUGUUCAUUAGAGUAAUAAAGCAGGAUUGAACCCAGAUGAGUAAUGCUCAGUCAGCUUCUGUUGCAGUUCAUGGCAAAACUCCAGGGAAAUAUACCAAUCCUACUGUUUUGGGGUGUGAGCAAAAUACACACAGACUAAGGAGCCUUUUUCACUUGAGGUUUAGAGAAUUCUUUGAAAAUUAGGAAAGUUAUACACAGUUCAGAAUGAUAGUAGCAGAAAAGUGAUUUGGACUUUCUAUAUCCCUGUCUCCCCCUGUUGCCAAUUUCGUUUCCAUUUUAAUAGGCCAAAUGUAAAAGUCUCUUUUAAUUAUGUUGUCACUCAACCUGUAGUUGUAGUUGCCCUUUUAUCUCUAGUCCAUCUUCUCACAUUACUGCUCUGUAGUGCUGUGAUGAAAGUUUCAAAGUUCAGGAUAGCAAUUCAUAGCAACCGAAGUUAAAUAAAUGUACUUAAGUAGACAAUAAAACAAUAACACUACUGUGUGCACUGAAUUUUCCAGGGAAGAUGGGAACAGAAAUGGGAGCCUACUGGGAAGAGGGCUUGAAGUUCUUUGUGUGAACUGUUUUGCUGUUAGCAAAUGCUGAAUCACAGAGCAUUCAGGUUUCCUUUGGGAAAUAUUUCCUACAGAUUUCUUUGACUAACCCUUUCAGCAACAAGGUUUUCACAUCCUGGAUUGAAUUUCUGGUGAGAGCAAGGGACAGAACAAGUGCCCUGUUGACUGGGAAUGGUUCCUAUUUGAACAAAUAAUUUAAGUCCUGCAUAAGCAGGGAAGGAGCCAUUUAGUCUGCUUAUGAUGGCACUCAUCACCUGGACUGCAGAAAAUGGAGACGUAAGUCCCUGGUUUUUAGUGUAAAGUAGAGGGACUUUGCCCCAUUUUGCAAUUUCAGGUGCAUACAUAACAGCUACCCUGCUGUUAAGUAUGCAAUUACUUAAAAAUACAUCACUCUCAUAUACAUGCUAAUAUUAAACAGUCUCAUUUUCACUGUGAUGCAGCAAACUCCAAAACAAAUACCAAAAUCCUGAUGUUGUUUCUGAAGAUUGUUUUCUGACCAGUGAGAAGGAAGAAACCAAAUAGUGGCUUUUGGGCAGAACAGCUCCAGUGGUUCUGCACUCAGUCAAAAGAGAGGAAAAUAAGAAAGACAGCCCAAGGAGAGUGAUCUAAUCACAGGCUCACACCUAUUCUGCCAUGUACAUUUUAACCUGCCCAGUGAAUGGCUGAGCAUUGUGUUGCUAUAAAUCCACUCCCCUUUGACAACCACACUAAAGUAGGGGACGUUGACUUACAUGUCUUGGUAUAAUUAAAUGCAACAGUAAAAUAAAAAAACUGUGAGUUAAAA